RNAcentral lists this signal recognition particle RNA (94 nucleotides) under Stackebrandtia nassauensis DSM 44728. RNAcentral describes it as "Bacterial small signal recognition particle RNA". It matches the Rfam family "Bacterial small signal recognition particle RNA". Rfam says of the family: The signal recognition particle (SRP) is a universally conserved ribonucleoprotein involved in the co-translational targeting of proteins to membranes. Archaeal SRP consists of a 7S RNA and homologues of the eukaryotic SRP19 and SRP54 proteins. The record is from Rfam by way of RNAcentral. Lineage: Bacteria; Bacillati; Actinomycetota; Actinomycetes; Glycomycetales; Glycomycetaceae.
AGUGCUUCUCGCGCGGCGUUAUCUCGUGAACCUCCCCAGGGCCGGAAGGCAGCAAGGAUAAGCGGGCUCUGGCGGGUGCGCGAGGAGUUUUUUC